UACGUAGGGCGCAAGCGUUGUCCGGAAUUAUUGGGCGUAAAGAGCUCGUAGGCGGCUUGUCACGUCGGGUGUGAAAGCCCGGGGCUUAACCCCGGGUCUGCAUUCGAUACGGGCUAGCUAGAGUGUGGUAGGGGAGAUCGGAAUUCCUGGUGUAGCGGUGAAAUGCGCAGAUAUCAGGAGGAACACCGGUGGCGAAGGCAGAUCUCUGGGCCAUUACUGACGCUGAGGAGCGAAAGCGUGGGGAGCGAACAGG
This 253-nucleotide ribosomal RNA is filed under the name uncultured bacterium. RNAcentral's name for it is "partial 16S ribosomal RNA". It matches the Rfam family "Bacterial small subunit ribosomal RNA", at positions 524 to 776 of the family's 1533-position model. The record is from RNAcentral.